RNAcentral lists this non-coding RNA (49 nucleotides) under Schistosoma mansoni. The record is from RNAcentral. Lineage: Eukaryota; Metazoa; Platyhelminthes; Trematoda; Strigeidida; Schistosomatidae.
AUCCAGCUGACGAGUCCCCAAACAGGACGAAAGGUGAGUCAAACUGGAU